This 4942-nucleotide long non-coding RNA is filed under the name Equus caballus (horse). RNAcentral's name for it is "lncRNA (ENSECAG00000057805.1)". Lineage: Eukaryota; Metazoa; Chordata; Mammalia; Perissodactyla; Equidae. The record is from RNAcentral.
GUAAGUUCACACUGACAUGUUUUCUUUGGGGGAAGUCCUGCUGUAGUUGAAAGAGUAAGAAGGCAUGAAUUCUAGUCUUGGGCCUCCGAGUUUCCUUAUUUUGAAAGUUUAUGAUCUGGGGCAACACAUAUCUUUUCCCUAUGUCUUGGUUUCCUCGACUAGAAAAUAUAAGAUCCUUUAUUUAUUUAUUUGUUUUAGCUCUAAGGCUAUGUGAAUGUACAAUUUACUCCCCCAGAUCCAUUUCUGAGAUAUUGAAGGGGUUUUGAAAGAUACUGGGAUGUUUACAAAGUCAGAGAUGUGUGAUGUUUUCAGGAGACCUAUUUGCAAUCCAGGGAAAGCUGAGGCGCUGCAUGGAACAUCGAGGCUUGGGGAUGGGAGCAGCCAGGCAGGCUUGAGAAAGAAGCAUGUGGUUAGUUUAAAUGUGUUGUCCAUCAGCUCUUCCCUAACUGUGGUGGGGCCAUUAUGAGGGGACUAUGUUGAUGUUUGUGCUGAGCAAGACCCAUAUGACCAGUGUGUGUGGGCCCUGGGAGGGGGAGGGUGGUAAAAGAUUCUGGAAAGAUUUCUGCCUGAGCAAGAGAGAAAUGUGCAGAUAGAUUUCAGACUGUUCAUGCCAUAAAUACCUAUUCAGUGCCUAGUCUGUCGUAGACAACUUGGAUAUAAUGCUGAACAGCACAGAUAGGAUUCCUGCCUUCAUGGAGCUUAUAGCCCAGUGGAGGAGAACAAUAAAUCAACAAUCUGGUUAUGUAUCAUGCUAGGAAAAGUGUAGGGUCCCAUGGGAGCACAUAGGUGGGGCAUCUAACACAGGUUUAGGGAGCUUGGGAGGUUUUCUGGAGAAAAAUGUUUGAGGAGAAAUCUGAAAAAAUACAGGGAUGAGAGGAACAGAAGGAAGUGUUUAAGGCAGAGGGAGUAGCUUGUACAAACGCCUGGAGAGGAGAGACAGGGCAUUUUCAAGGAUCUGAAAGCAGGUUAGUGUGGCUGGAGGGUAAGAGAGGGAGGCAGAGAAUGAAUGGAGGGGACACUGCAGAAGUUAGAUUCUGGAGCGUCUUUUUAAGCCAUAAGAAGGAAUUUGGCCUUUAAUUUAAAUGCAAUGAGGGCCUCUGGACAACUUUAAGCAGGGCAGUGAUUUGAUCAGAUUUGUGUUUUAGAACAUUCCUCUUGGAUAAAGCGUGGAGAGAGGAUUGGAGGGGGCAAGACUAGAGAUGGAGAGAGAGAGGAGACAGAUGGGUAGAAGGUUUUUGAAUUCCAGAUGAGAGAGAAUGGUGGUUUGGAUUAGGAUGGGGGCAGCGGGAUUGGAGAGAAGUGAUGGACUCAAGAAAUGUUUAGGAGGUCAACUAUGAAUUGAGGUCAAUGAAUGAGACGAUGGGGAGAUACAAACAUUGAGUCCAUAACAGGUGAUUUACUAAUUUUCACAGGUUACCUCUACUCUUGUGAGACGAGACCCUGGUACAUAGUAGGUUCUGAAUUAACACAUGUUGGAGGCUGGCUAGUGUAUAGAACUUUUGGAAUUGUUUGUCUAGAGGAGGAGAUAAUAACCAUCUUUUUCCCUGAGAAUUGGUCUUCUGUUUCCUCCCAUGAUUCAUAAAGAUUAGUUUCCAAGCUGCAAUUUUUGUCCCAUGUGACCCUAGGUCUCUUGGUCUUCACUGGCUGCACAAAGGAUAGAAAUUUACUUAAUAUGUGAAAAUUGGGCUUUUUCUCCUGGGAAUUUAAAAUUGAGGCUGUUUCUGUGGCUGGACCUUUAGCAUAUAAACUUGGGAGAUGUGGGGUGGACACAUUUCCUACCAUGUAGAAUGGGAAGCCAAGAAAGACAGUGAGCAGAGAGAAGCAUGAAGAUAAUGAAUAGUUAAGUUGAAUGGGGCUGUGGGACCACCACUCUGUUUAUAAAACAGUCCUCACAACAAUCUUGAAAGGUAGUGUUAUCCCCAUUCAACAAUGGAGGAAACUGAAGCCCAGUAAUGUUAAUGACUUGUGCAGAGAAUGGUGGCAAAGAUGGAACAGACCCUGGUCUACCUGUCUCUGAAGUCUGUGCACUGCCAGGUAGGUUCCAUAGCCUUUCUUUACAGCUCCUACCAGGUCAUUCUACACGGGAGGCACUUUAUACGGGGGACCCUUUAGUCUAGUGACUGGUCACUACAAUGAAAAGCAGUGGUGAAGCUAGGUAUUUGAAUUGACUAGUUUAUUUUAUCAACAACUUUGUGAUUGAUUCAGUUAAAGAUUUUAUGAAAACCUGGUCAGAUUGUCAAACAAUCAUAUAGUGUUUAUAAUUCUUUUGGGUUUCAUUAUUCUAUUUUGGAUAGCUGAACUUGUAUAUUAUAGAAUAUAAGGUUUGGGUAAUUUGGUUGGGAGUCAGCUUGGACUCAACUCGCUUGCUGAAGUUUCGAGUACCCUGAGAGACAGAAUUAUAUUAUUUAGAGCUGUUUACUUUGUGUAGCACCUACUUAAUACUACGCAAUGAAUUCAUUAACUUCUAAUCACUCUUGAUUCACUUGUUUAAGGUGGGUAAAGCAGGGAUUAUCUGAAUUUUAAGAUUAAGGCUGACAGAUUAAAUUUGUGUCUGUAAUCUAUUGAAUUUCUUUGUUUUUGUUUUGUUUUACUCUGACAUUAAAAGAGACAUUAUUAUGACCCCAGUCUGUCCAAAUUGUAUACUAUAAUGGAUUAUGUGUGAAUAAAUUAAAGGACCUAGAUCUUUAAUAAUAAAACCACUUUGCAGCAGCCGUAGUUCUGUAAAUGGAUAUCUUACUUAUUAAACAAAAUGUAAUUGGAAAAUAAAACGCACUGUCACCAAAUAAUGGCCCAUGUAACAAAUAAUCAGUUUGGAUGCAGCUACAAGAUUUUUCUGGCACAAUAGUAAAUUAAACACUUCAGCAAAUUUGUUAAACCAAUGAAAAUUCCAAUCCUGUGUGUUUUGUUUUAAUGAUGUAGGAAUGUGAACAACAAGAUGUUUUCUUUUUUUUGUUCACGUUAGAGUGAACAGAAAAAUAAUUUAACAGACAAAGAAAGUUUCUGGUGUUUUCCUGGGAAAAUGAGGUUAGAGCAGUUAGAAACACCAUUCGUAGCUUAAAGCAAUAGAGUUUAUUCAGAUGUUUUUGUUUUGCUAAUUGGCAUUCCAGGGGUAAGUGGUUACUGGUGCAGGCUCCUCCUUCCAACCCCGCCAUCACGAGAGACUCAGGCCCUUCCUACCUUUCUAUGCUGUCGUUCUUAGCAAAUUUGUUUUUAAUUUUCCUGUAUGUUGCCUUAUGGUUGCAAGAUGGCAGCAAUAGGGCCAGUCAUCAGGAAAAAGGGGGCAAGGAUCAGGACAUCUAUGAUCCUUUAUCCGGCCACUUUCACAUAGAUCUCCAAGACCAGACUUAUCCCCCAUGUCCAUAUUUAGUUGCAAGGAGGCUGGGAAAAUGAGGAAUAGGAUUGCCAUUGUUGGUAUGGCCAACCAUGACUAAUCCCCAGGGGCUGGGCAAUUGCUGCCACCAAACAAUAUUGGGGUGCUGAUCAGAAAAAAGAAGGGGCUGGAUAUUGGUUCCACUUCAGAGGUUUACAUAUGUUUUGGUCAGCAAUCUGCUGUUCUUUCCCUAUUUUCUCAGAAGCAGUCUGGUCAAAGUUGCCCGCUUAUCAAUAGCUAUUCCCAAUUGGUGUGUAUGCUUAAGUGUGGAUUGUAGGGAUUCAGAUGUGGGAGAGAUAAUGAGGGCAAGAGUGGUCAGGGGAUGCCUCAUGAAAGAGUAGAAUUGAAGGGGGGGAGGAUUAAUGUAGGUGGUAGGGAAAAGAAACAGCAACCUAGCAAGAGGGAUCACACAAGUGAAGGCGGGGAGAUCAGCUAAGCACUUGUCUGAUAAGAGAAAUCUCAACUUCUGAGAGGAGUUGAGACUCUCUGUGUUAAGUGUAUCUGAUGCUUUGACAUUUGAGACCUUGCUGACCUGGAGAGACUGUCUCUCUCAGGGCUGGCCAAUUCCUAGAGGUCGUAAAUGACUUGCCUGCCAGCACAUGCAAACCAACAAAUCCAGAGCCCCCAACUAUCUCCUCCUUUAUUGAGCUCUUAAGAGCUACCCACCUGCCCUAAUCAUACAAGGGCCAGAUAGGAGACAACUAGAGACAGUUGCUCUACCCCAAAUCCUGCUGAAUUUCAACUAGCCAAUCCUAAACCUGCUUAUCCUGCCUCACCUUUUCCUUCUCAUGGAAACCAUAAUAAAGGCUCUUACUUUUUCUCCUUGCUCCCUCUGCUUCCUGACUGACUCUGGUGCUUCCCUGGGUGGCCCCCACACUGUGCCAUGCUGGACUAUACCUCCUGUUUCCAAGGAUCUCUUUCAGCAAUGCUUCGAGGAGACUGAAAAUAUUUUCUUCCAAGAGAAUAAAGUGAAUACCACGUGGAGGACAGUCUCUAAAACGUAUUGCUCAUGUGGCUGUGCCAAUGACCCAGCUAUUAACGGAAAACAUACUUUUCAUUUCGACAACUGUCGACUGGACCUAAUUGCUUUUUGAUGGUAGUUCUGGAAAAAUAUAGUAAUACUAGUCACCGUGGAUUCUACCAUUUAAAAAGGAGCACUAUGACCUUUCAUUCAGAAAGAUAGAUGCUCAAAAGGACCAUCCAAUAAAGUGUUCUAAAACAGUGCUAAAGAGCGGCACAGAACUUUUGGGAACCCUUAAGAACAGUUCUGACCCUACUUGGGUGGUAGGGUAAGAUAAGGUUGGAUGUAGAUACAAGAGUUCAGCAAGAAUCAACAGAAGCAUUUUGUCUGAAUCAAUUGGCUAUAUGGAAUUUAUAAUAAAGAGUAUCAUACGUUUUAUCAUUAUUUGUAGAUUGUGAACUAUACAUCUUUUAUAUCAGUAAAAUUUGUAAUAAACUUUUAUGAAUACAUAUUAUAAAUACACUUUUUUUCUCAAAGAGCUGCUUGUUGAACAUUUUCCAGCAGAUUAUGGCCUAAACUUAUCCCUAACUCCAUUCUAGCUUAUUUUCUCC